RNAcentral lists this ribosomal RNA (864 nucleotides) under Triticum aestivum (bread wheat). Its description in RNAcentral is "partial small subunit ribosomal RNA". The record is from RNAcentral. Lineage: Eukaryota; Viridiplantae; Streptophyta; Magnoliopsida; Poales; Poaceae.
AUGGAACUUAACCACAACGGGUACGGCUACUACGACAACAAUGGGUCCUAUACAAAUGAUGGCAACCCAUGCUACUACGGCAUGAGCUAUGCCACUUCCGAGCCCUCCUAUGGCUACCAAUACCAGCAGUCUGCUUCUACCCAGCCCCAGUCCUCCUACGACAACCACUACUACCAGUACGACAUCACCAACUCUUCCUCCUCUGCGGCUCCGUCCUACGCCGCCGCCGACGACAUUGCCCCUUACGCGCAGGAGCAGCACCCACAGUACCUCAAUUUCGGCGGCAGCAGCUAUCAGUACGAUGGCGCCGCGAGUGCUAUGGGCAUGGGCAUGGGCAUGGGCAUGGACCAGUUCAGCGCGCUCAUGGAGGCCACGUCUAUCUCACCUGCUGCACCAUCCUGGGCGGAGCAGCAGGAGGCAAAGAAGGCCAAGGCAGAGACUCCGCAGCUGAUCGGCGUGCGGAGGCGGCCGUGGGGCAAGUACGCGGCGGAGAUCCGGGACUCCACGCGCGGCGGCGAGCGCGUGUGGCUGGGCACCUUCGACACCCCGGAGGCCGCCGCGCUGACCUACGACCAGGCGGCCUACACGUCCCGCGGACCCGCGGCCGUGCUCAAUUUCCCGGUGGAGCGAGUCCGGGAGUCGCUGCGCGUGCUGAAGCUCGGCAAAGCCGCGGCCGCGGGGGAGGACGACUCGCCCGUGCUGGCGCUCAAGAGGCGCCACUGCAUGCGGAAGCGCACUCCCAAGGGCAAGGGCCAGGAGGGUGACAUGAAGAAGCAACCUGGUGGUGCUGCUGCUGCGUCGAGCGUGCUGGAGCUGGAGGACCUGGGAGCAGACUACUUGGAAGAGCUGCUCGCAUUGUCCGAG